Molecule: long non-coding RNA, 669 nt
Filed under: Ficedula albicollis (Collared flycatcher)
Lineage: Eukaryota; Metazoa; Chordata; Aves; Passeriformes; Muscicapidae
Description: lncRNA (ENSFALG00000024998.1)
Source: RNAcentral
AAUCAGUGAAAAAAGAGUGACAAGCUCCUCUUUUUCACAGGCAGAGCUCUGUGACGAAGCAUGAAAUAUGGGCAGCUAACCCACAAAGGAGGUGGGAUAUCCUCCAAACCCCAGUCCUGAUAUGGUGCUGCUGCUCUGCAGUAUGUGUGCAUGCCUGUGUGCCUACGUGUGAUGUGGAUUUCGGCUCUCAAAGAGAACUUGAAAGCCUUCCAGCAGAAACACUAUUUGGGCUGAAAGUCAUCUGUGAAUUCAUGCCUGGGGUAACCCAGCCUCCAGCUGACUUCACACAGUGAAAGCAGUUCACAGCAUCUGAGAUCAAAGCCAGGGCUUGAACAAAGCUGGCUGCUGGGAAGGGGACAAAGAGAGAAUGGGCUAUCCUUGACACUUAGAGACCAACAUCUGAACAGGUAGGAGCUUUUCCAACAGAAAGGCAAUAGAAAGACAGAACAGAACCAUGUGUCUCUACUCUGUGGAGACAGCAGCAGCUCCCCUUCAGUCUGGCUGGUGGCCCAAGGGUGGCAUUUUUGUGUGUGCUCUUGCCCCACAGCUGGUGUGGGGCAGAGCCUGAGAGCCUGAGGAGCAAAUCUGAGCAGCUGCCCCCGUGCUACCUUCCCUUUUCUCAGGCACGAGACUGCACAGGAGGAUUUUGAGGGCAGAUUAGUCAAGACA